AGAUAAAUUGCCUGAGGAACUGGUUAGAGUACAGGUUCUGAUUCUCUAGGUCUGUAGUAGGUCCCAAAGUCUGUGAUUCUGCAUUUCUCACAAGCUCCCAGGUAAUACUGAU
RNAcentral lists this microRNA precursor (112 nucleotides) under Marmota monax (woodchuck). The record is from RNAcentral. Lineage: Eukaryota; Metazoa; Chordata; Mammalia; Rodentia; Sciuridae.